GCUCGACUCAUAAUAUAA
This 18-nucleotide transfer RNA is filed under the name Tanacetopsis ferganensis. RNAcentral describes it as "partial tRNA-Leu". The record is from RNAcentral. Lineage: Eukaryota; Viridiplantae; Streptophyta; Magnoliopsida; Asterales; Asteraceae.